CCUACGGGUGGCAGCAGUGGGGAAUCUUGCGCAAUGGGCGAAAGCCUGACGCAGCGACGCCGCGUGAGGGAUGAAGGUCUUCGGAUCGUAAACCUCUGUCAGCAGGGAAGAACGGUCACUGUGCUAAUCAGCAGUGAAUUGACGGUACCUGCAAAGGAAGCACCGGCUAACUCCGUGCCAGCAGCCGCGGUAAUACGGAGGGUGCGAGCGUUAAUCGGAAUUACUGGGCGUAAAGCGCUCGUAGGUGGUAUGUCAAGUCAAGGGUGAAAUCCCCGCGCUCAACGUGGGAACUGCCUUUGAUACUGGCAGACUGGAGUGUGUGAGAGGAUAGUGGAAUUCCAGGUGUAGGAGUGAAAUCCGUAGAUAUCUGGAGGAACAUCAGUGGCGAAGGCGACUAUCUGGCACAUAACUGACGCUGAGGAGCGAAAGCGUGGGUAGCAAACAGGAUUAGAUACCCGUGUAGUC
RNAcentral lists this ribosomal RNA (465 nucleotides) under uncultured bacterium. RNAcentral's name for it is "partial 16S ribosomal RNA". It matches the Rfam family "Bacterial small subunit ribosomal RNA", at positions 338 to 795 of the family's 1533-position model. The record is from RNAcentral.